GCGAACUUGGCAGAGAUGCCUUGGUGCCUUCGGGAACGCUGAGACAGGUGCUGCAUGGCUGUCGUCAGCUCGUGUUGUGAAAUGUUGGGUUAAGUCCCGNAACGAGCGCAACCCAUAUCCUUUGUGCCAGCGAUUCGGUCGGGAACUCAAAGGAGACUGCCGGUGAUAAACCGGAGGAAGGUGGGGACGACGUCGAGUCAUCAUGGCCCUUACGAGUAGGGCUACACACGUGCUACAAUGGCGCAUACAAAGAGAAGCGACCUCGCGAGAGCAAGCGGAACCUCAUAAAGUGCGUCGUAGUCCGGAUCGGAGUCUGCAACUCGACUCCGUGAAGUCGGAAUCGCUAGUAAUCGUGGAUCAGAAUGCCACGGUGAAUACGUUCCCGGGCCUUGUACACACCGCCCGUCACACCAUGGGAGUGGGUUGCAAAAGAAGUAGGUAGCUUAACCUUCGGGAGGGCGCUUACCACUUUGUGAUUCAUGACUGGGGUGAAGUCGUAACAAGGUAAGCGUAGCGAG
This 518-nucleotide ribosomal RNA is filed under the name uncultured bacterium. RNAcentral's name for it is "bacterial SSU rRNA". It matches the Rfam family "Bacterial small subunit ribosomal RNA", at positions 991 to 1509 of the family's 1533-position model. The record is from RNAcentral.